This 422-nucleotide ribosomal RNA is filed under the name uncultured bacterium. Its description in RNAcentral is "bacterial SSU rRNA". It matches the Rfam family "Bacterial small subunit ribosomal RNA", at positions 355 to 774 of the family's 1533-position model. The record is from RNAcentral.
UGAGGAAUAUUGGGCAAUGCCCGCAAGGGUGACCCAGCAACGCCGCGUGGAGGAUGAAUGUCGUAAGAUUGUAAACUCCUGUUAGAGGGGAAGAAUAGUACCGGUUGGACCGGUAUAUGACUGUACCCUCAGAGAAAGCCCCGGCUAACUACGUGCCAGCAGCCGCGGUAAUACGUAGGGGGCAGGCGUUGUCCGGAUUUACUGGGUGUAAAGGGCGCGCAGGCGGGAUAAAAAGUCAGUGGUGAAAUCCUACAGCUUAACUGUAGAACUGCCUUUGAUACUUUUAUUCUUGAGUUCGGGAGAGAGAGACGGAAUUCCAGGUGUAGUGGUGAAAUACGUAGAUAUCUGGAAGAACACCAGUUGCGAAGGCGGUCUCUUGAUCCGACACUGACGCUGAGGCGCGAAAGCGUGGGGAGCAAACA